GACAUCGGACAGGGAGAACCGGCCGCGCGCCGGUGCCGAAGGAGCAACCGCCCCGGAAACUCUCAGGCCAAAAGGGACCUGCCGGUAUCG
RNAcentral lists this non-coding RNA (90 nucleotides) under Pseudooceanicola batsensis HTCC2597. RNAcentral's name for it is "Oceanicola batsensis HTCC2597 Glycine riboswitch aptamer". It matches the Rfam family "Glycine riboswitch aptamer". Rfam says of the family: This family represents the bacterial glycine riboswitch. Glycine riboswitches usually consist of two metabolite-binding aptamers domains with similar structures in tandem. The record is from Rfam by way of RNAcentral. Lineage: Bacteria; Pseudomonadati; Pseudomonadota; Alphaproteobacteria; Rhodobacterales; Paracoccaceae. RNAcentral also lists the same sequence under 1 other name.